RNAcentral lists this ribosomal RNA (236 nucleotides) under uncultured Gallionellaceae bacterium. Its description in RNAcentral is "partial 16S ribosomal RNA". It matches the Rfam family "Bacterial small subunit ribosomal RNA", at positions 1145 to 1382 of the family's 1533-position model. The record is from RNAcentral. Lineage: Bacteria; Pseudomonadati; Pseudomonadota; Betaproteobacteria; Nitrosomonadales; Gallionellaceae.
GAGACUGCCGGUGACAAACCGGAGGAAGUGGGGAUGACGUCAAGUCCUCAUGGCCCUUAUGGGUAGGGCUUCACACGUAAUACAAUGGUCGGUACAGAGGGUUGCCAACCCGCGAGGGGGAGCCAAUCCCAGAAACCGAUCGUAGUCCGGAUUGCAGUCUGCAACUCGACUGCAUGAAGUCGGAAUCGCUAGUAAUCGCGGAUCAGCAUGUCGCGGUGAAUACGUUCCCGGGCCUU